GCCAGCAUUGCAGAGCUGCAGUUUCAAGGCUCUCGCAAACAGAGACUGAUCCCAUCAGAAUGAAGAGAAGUUGAUGGCAUCUGCUGAGCUUCAUAGAGAAGGGCUUUGCAUGUAAACUGAAAAAGGAUACUACCAAUGCUCUUAUCUACCAAAGUCUCCUAGAACCCUUGAUUCUUCUUUGAUCACAGGAUCCUGUUCAUAUCUUGCUUCUCCUUGUGUGCAUGAAAGACCACCAAAGUUACCCUACAAGGACCUGCCUCAUGAUCCACUGAACUUUGCUUUCUAUCACUGAUGAUGGAAACAUUGUGUUCUAGCGAGACAGGCGAGCAAUAUCCAGGAUGAUACUCUCUCAUGAUGCUGGGCAUCAGUGAGCCAUAGCUCCCAGUCAGCUGUACCAUCAGAAGGACUGAUUCACAACAGAAAUGCCCA
Long non-coding RNA from Symphalangus syndactylus (siamang), 429 nucleotides. RefSeq lists it as uncharacterized. The record is from RefSeq and is a predicted model, not a curated record. Lineage: Eukaryota; Metazoa; Chordata; Mammalia; Primates; Hylobatidae.